RNAcentral lists this ribosomal RNA (529 nucleotides) under Lagocephalus laevigatus (smooth puffer). RNAcentral describes it as "partial 16S ribosomal RNA". It matches the Rfam family "Bacterial large subunit ribosomal RNA", at positions 1846 to 2577 of the family's 2925-position model. Lineage: Eukaryota; Metazoa; Chordata; Actinopteri; Tetraodontiformes; Tetraodontidae. The record is from RNAcentral.
UAAGAGGUCCCGCCUGCCCUGUGACUAUGGUUUAACGGCCGCGGUAUUUUUACCGUGCAAAGGUAGCGCAAUCACUUGUCCUUUAAAUGAGGACCUGUAUGAAAGGCAUCACGAGGGCUUAGCUGUCUCCUUUUUCAAGUCGAUGAAAUUGAUCUCUCCGUGCAGAAGCGGGGAUUAAAACAUAAGACGAGAAGACCCUAUGGAGCUUUAGAUACAAGACAGAUCAUGUUAAGCACCUUAAAUAAAAGUGGCAAACUAAGUGGAACCUGCCUUAAUGUCUUUGGUUGGGGCGACCGCGGGGCAACAAAAAGCCCCCAUGAGGAAUAAAAGUAUUCUUUCAAAAACAAGAGCCACAGCUCUAAUGAGCAGAACAUCUGACCUACCAGAUCCGGCAUAGCCGAUCAACGAACCGAGUUACCCUAGGGAUAACAGCGCAAUCCCCUUUUAGAGCCCCUAUCGACAAGGGGGUUUACGACCUCGAUGUUGGAUCAGGGCAUCCUAAUGGUGUAACCGCUAUUAAGGGUUCGUU